UUAUGCCAGUACCAGUGAACUUGCCCAAUAAGCUUUAUUUUAGCGAAUCGUACUUUUCUAUCGUCAGUCAUUUCGUACCACUCAAAAUAGUUAUCCAUGGCUGCUCUCCAAUCAAGGUACAUACUCGGCUCUAAUUGACCAGCAAAUGUGGGGGCAUCUACUCAUACGAUACGAAGUAGUCACUCAUCAAGAUCGCGCUGGUGAUCAGGAGGAAGUUGGUUCCUAGGGGGAUGGGGAAAAGCUACAGGUGGUGUGGUCAAACCAAGCUCGGG
RNAcentral lists this long non-coding RNA (272 nucleotides) under Phoenix dactylifera (date palm). RNAcentral describes it as "long non-coding RNA (PDAC_LNC007432)". The record is from RNAcentral. Lineage: Eukaryota; Viridiplantae; Streptophyta; Magnoliopsida; Arecales; Arecaceae.